Molecule: long non-coding RNA, 296 nt
Filed under: Amborella trichopoda
Lineage: Eukaryota; Viridiplantae; Streptophyta; Magnoliopsida; Amborellales; Amborellaceae
Description: long non-coding RNA (ATRI_LNC002223)
Source: RNAcentral
AAGAAAGGGAAGAAAUACAAAGGAAGAGAGAAAGGCAACGAGAGAGAGGGAGAAAGUAGGGGUACAAAGCUAUGACGGAGAAGGGGAGAGAGAGGGUACAAUGCUCCCAUAUCGGUUGGGCUAGAGAGAGAGGAAGAUUGUGAAGCUAGAGAGAGAAAAAGUUGGCAAGGAGAGAGAAAGAUGGCGCGGAGAGAGAGGAAGCAAAGAUGCGGUGCGCGGUAGUCCACGCAAUUUGAAUAGAAAGAAAGUACUAAACUACCCCUACAUAUUGAAUGACAGACGGUGGCAAUUUUGUC